This 447-nucleotide ribosomal RNA is filed under the name uncultured bacterium. Its description in RNAcentral is "bacterial SSU rRNA". It matches the Rfam family "Bacterial small subunit ribosomal RNA", at positions 29 to 521 of the family's 1533-position model. The record is from RNAcentral.
AACGAACGCUGGCGGCAGGCCUAACACAUGCAAGUCGAACGCCCUAGCAAUAGGGAGUGGCGCACGGGUGCGUAACGCGUGGGAAUAUGCCCUUCACUGCGGAAUAACGUUUGGAAACGAACGCUAAUACCGCAUAAUGACUCCGGUCCAAAGAUUUAUCGGUGAAGGAUUAGCCCGCGUUAGAUUAGCUAGUUGGUGAGGUAAUGGCUCACCAAGGCGACGAUCUAUAGCUGGUCUGAGAGGAUGAUCAGCCACACUGGGACUGAGACACGGCCCAGACUCCUACGGGAGGCAGCAGUGAGGAAUAUUGGACAAUGGGCGCAAGCCUGAUCCAGCCAUGCCGCGUGAGUGAAGAAGGCCUUCGGGUUGUAAAGCUCUUUCAGAUGUGAAGAUAAUGACGGUAGCAUCAGAAGAAGCCCGGCUAAACUUCGUGCCAGCAGCCGCGGU